CCUUAGUUUAUUAAAUAGUUUAAUAUUUUUAAUUUUUUUUAGAAAUAUUUUUUUAAAACUUCUUAGAAAGACAAUUUAUGUAAAAUGAAAGGAAGCUUGAGGCUAAAACAGGUCUGUGAUGCCCUUAGAUGUCUUGGGCUGCACGCGCGUUACACUGAAUAAAUCAGCAAGUUUAUUUUAUUAAAUAUUUAAUUUAUAUUGAAUAUUUAAUAAAUUCCUGUAAUGGAAAUUAUAGGGUAAUCUUUUGAAAUUUAUUCGUGAUGGGGAUAGAUGAUUGUAAUUAUUCAUCUUAAACGAGGAAUUCCUAGUAAGUGCAAUUCAUCAAAUUGUAUUGAUUACGUCCCUGCCCCUUGUACACACCGCCCGUCGCUGUUUCUGAUUGAAUGGUUAGGUAAAAUGGAUGGAUUCUUAUUAUUAAUUUUUAAUUUAUUAAAAAUUUAAAGGAGAGGUUCAGUGAAUC
RNAcentral lists this ribosomal RNA (460 nucleotides) under uncultured eukaryote. RNAcentral describes it as "partial small subunit ribosomal RNA". It matches the Rfam family "Eukaryotic small subunit ribosomal RNA", at positions 1341 to 1765 of the family's 1831-position model. The record is from RNAcentral.